Molecule: long non-coding RNA, 1375 nt
Organism: Musa acuminata AAA Group (dessert banana)
Lineage: Eukaryota; Viridiplantae; Streptophyta; Magnoliopsida; Zingiberales; Musaceae
Exons: 2
Source: RefSeq, a predicted model, not a curated record
CCAAACGACCGCGGUCACCGACGACGUGAACACCACCCUCUCGAUGGUGUCCACCUGGGCACAUGCUUCCACCACGUUGUGUGCGGCUCUCACCUCGACUUCGACCAUCAGCUCCUGCAUCAUACACCACGGAAAGAUCGACACAAGAGUUAUUGCACUGUUCACCAGUGACAGUUUGCCAACUUGGUGGAAGCAGAUGGUCAGAACCCGCGUUUUCACUCGAAGCUAGGCGAAGAAACAGCAGGAUUGAUGACAGGCUUGUCUUCUUCCAACUGUUCCAUGUGCACAGUGGACCAGGCGUAUCCAUGCGCGCUGUCGAUUCUUUAAAGAAGUCAAAGGGCACGCUGGGUUAUCUCAGACUCUGUGGCCGUCAUGAUCAAACAGUUGGUGCAAUCAAUACGGCCAACUCAUGACAACAAGCACGUACACUGUUCGACGAAAUGUUUCGGAAAGCCUAUGGCUUCUCGGUUCAAUGGAUACAAGUCGAUGAAGUAAGCACUUACGUCAUAGGACUCAUCCUGGGGAGGCUCGAACGUGUAGAAGAGGCCGGAGCAGCCCUUCACGGCGUCGACGAUGGUUUGGUAGUCGAAGGGGUCCGCUUGAAACAGCUUGAGCCGCCUGUUCUCGCUGCACAUCCUCUUCAGAACGCCACUCGAUUCACCUGAAGCAGCAAUCGUCGGAAUCCAGCAUACACAAAAGCACCCGACGACAACGAGGAGAAAGAACCCAAGGGCGAACUGCGAACCGUGGUGAUAAGAGGCGGCAUGAACAGUGCAUCCUCUCUGCAAAAGCCUCCUGACGAGGGAAAUGCCGAGCCGACAUGACGCGUCCAUGACACAGACGGUCUUCCUAUCCCGGUGAACGAAAGCCGGCGCCAUGACCGAGACCUUUAGAGACAAGAGCGAGCGAGAGAGAGAGAGAGAGAGAGAGAGAGGUGUGCAAGCAAGAGGAGGAGAUGGAGAAGGGUUAGAAAGGGGCCUUGGUAUAUAAAAGAAGAAGAUGAGGGAGGAGUAGUUGACAGCAGUGUGGUAAGAUAAGGCUAAGAACAUUAAUGGCGGCGGGGUCGGCGCGCCAUGGUGUCCUUCGAGCCACCGGCUUCUUCCUGGUUGCCACCGAGACAUCAAUGUGGACGAUGAGAAGGACUUCUCUUUAAUUGUAAUGCUAUUUUCUAGUGCUAGAGAUGUAUACUAAGGUUUAGUUUGUGAUCUAAGGACAUGGAGAGUAUAUAAUAGGCUUAUUAUACGUUUAUGUCUUAAGGUAUUUGGGAUUUAGUGAGAGACAAGCUUAGGUGUAUGAUAAAGAAGUCCAAUAUGGUGUCCCAUGAAGUAUGUGGUGGGCCAAAUUUUUGGAAUGUAGUCACUUGGAGCUACUUUUA